GAUGAACGCUAGCGGCAGGCCUAACACAUGCAAGUCGAGGGAGAAGCCCUUUCGGGGGCCGAAACCGGCGCACGGGUGCGUAACGCGUAUGCAACCUACCUUUCACAGGGGGAUAGCCCGAAGAAAUUUGGAUUAAUACCCCAUAAUAUUAUUGGAUGGCAUCAUUUGAUAAUUAAAACUGCGGUGGGGAAAGAUGGGCAUGCGUCCUAUUAGCUAGUUGGAGUGGUAACGGCACCCCAAGGCUACGAUAGGUAGGGGUCCUGAGAGGGAGAUCCCCCACACUGGGACUGGGACAGGGACCAGACUCCUACGGGAGGCAGCAGUGAGGAAGAUAGGUCAAUGGUCGGAAGACUGAACCAGCCAUGCCGCGUGCAGGAAGAAUGCCUUAUGGGUUGUAAACUGCUUUUAUAUGAGAAGAAUAAGCCGUACGUGUGCGUUGAUGACGGUACCAGAUGAAUAAGCAUCGGCUAACUCCGUG
Molecule: ribosomal RNA, 478 nt
Filed under: uncultured bacterium
Lineage: Bacteria
Description: partial 16S ribosomal RNA
Rfam family: Bacterial small subunit ribosomal RNA
Source: RNAcentral